Molecule: non-coding RNA, 67 nt
Filed under: Streptomyces sp.
Lineage: Bacteria; Bacillati; Actinomycetota; Actinomycetes; Kitasatosporales; Streptomycetaceae
Source: RNAcentral
GGGAAGCCGGUGCGAAUCCGGCGCUGACCCGCAACCGUGAGCCGUCCUUCAGGCGGCGAGCCGGACC